RNAcentral lists this long non-coding RNA (3567 nucleotides) under Nasonia vitripennis (jewel wasp). RNAcentral describes it as "uncharacterized LOC103317976". Lineage: Eukaryota; Metazoa; Arthropoda; Insecta; Hymenoptera; Pteromalidae. The record is from RNAcentral.
ACUCCUGCGCAGGUACUUGGUGAAACCGCAGGUUCGAUCAUCGACGCUGAAUACGUGCUCACUGCUCAGCCUGUGAGUGAGUUCUUUGCUAUUGUUGCCCCGCAGGUAGAACGCGAAGUUCGCGUGGACUGUGUAGUCACGGGACUCGGUGAGCAGUUCGAGGAAGAGCGAAAAGUAGUCGCGACUCUCGUGCUCGCAUCCGCGUGGGAACAGCAAUAUACGCCACUGCAGGUGCUCGCUGCUCUCGUUCGAGUGGUAAACGGGAGAGUAAAGAGCUUCGCCGAUUUUCUUGUGCUGGAGGCUCAGGGCACUCGGCGUCCAGGUGCACCAGGUCUCUUCGUCGUCGGCUGAGUUGGCGCGUUGACGCUUGUUACUUUUCGACGAACGGCUGUUUCUGGCCUUCCUUUCGGUCGCGUCCAUUGUUGGCUGGCUUUGUUAAGUAUUGUAAAAAUGCGUUUGCGAACUGUGCGCGGAGGCCGGAGAUGGCUUUUAUCAGUGCUGUAUAGAUAUGCUUAUAACUAUAUACGACUCAACUGUAAGAAUCGGUCAACUGCCUAUAAUUGAUAGUGCCGGUUCGAACGUGAGUGCUGCCAACGUUUGGGAUUGUCGCGAACCUAUUUUUUUGUUAUUGCAAGGGGAAAUUUGAGCGAUCUAGUUACGUGUUUGAACUUCUCGUCCCUAGUGCUUAUAUAGAGGUGGAGUUAUUAGAAGAAGUGUGCAUUGACAAUCGACAUUAAAGUGUAUAUAUUUACUUUUCCCACGUGAUCUACCAGUAUAGAUAUACAUAAUAACAAAGUCGCACGGGCGUUUUCCUAAAAAACAAAAAUAACCAACAAAUCGUGCAGAUGCGACAAUAAGGAAAAAAUAGAAGGCAAACGGAAGCACCGCAAGUGUAUAUGCAUAAGUAUAACUUCGUACUUCGCAUGUAAAGGAAGGGCCACAAAUAUGUUAUGCAAGUAUACUUUUACGUCAAUACUUUGUGUAUAUAUACAUAUAUGAGGGACAAGAACUCAAUCAUACCCAUAUGUUACAUAUUCAUGAACGUUAUCAAAAUCAACGUGUAAAGUCAACGUGUAAAAAAAUAUGGAAUGAUUUUAGAUACAGUUCGAAAAGUUUAAUAUCAAGACAAUGACGAGUCGCAUCGGGGAUCGGAAGUUAUUGAAUCGCCGAACGUUUACCGAAACAUGACCGAUGAAUGUUGUACCCGGCUUAUGUGAACAGUAGGUGCGUAUAAAUCCUCCGAGGUAAUUUUGAGAAACUUGUUUGAGAAUUUCUACCAGCUCUGGCUUGGAUGGCACGAUUGAUUAUGCAGCUCUUUAUUUAAGUAUCAUUACAUCGUUGCAGAAAUCAAUUCACUUUACGAGUCUAUUAAUUACAAACGAAAACAUUUAUUUGUAAUAAAUGAAUGAAGAAAUAAAGAAAUUUUAAGAAGAGAACAAAAAUCCACAAGAAGUAAGCACGCAUAAAGGAGACAAACGCUGCGGCAAUCAGCAAGGGCCACUUGUACUCUUUUAGCGCGUAUAUUUAUGCGUCGUCGUCGAUCAAGUGCUCCGCGCUCUCGUGUCUGCGCCCGUGCGCGAGUCUCAAGGGAAAAGUAAAUGCGGGCUAUUGUUAGGUGUGAAAAUGGCGAUAGAAGGACGCACUCGCCGGUGAAGAUUAUAUAUACGUAAUAUACGUAAUAUUCGGAGAAAGGUCGCUCUUCGAGGGACCGAACUUGUCAUUUAUACUUAAUUUUCACCUUGUGAAGUACCGAUGUGUGACACUGGUUUAUAUGACGAGUGGUUGGAUCCUUGUGUAUAGUUUCAGUUCAUUUUUGGCAUUAUAUUAUAACAUAAGGUCAAUUCAUAUAAAAUUGUAUACGUUCAAGGAAAAUUUGACGAAACUAUCGAGCUUUAGCUGGUUUGAUAGGUCAAUUGUCGUUAAAGGUGUGAGUUGAUAAGGAAGAAUCGUUUGACGCAGCCAUGCAAAGAUAAACACGAAAACACGCGGGUAUAAUACCGUCAUGUAGUAUGGUAUAGCUUUUUCUCAAAUGAAACGCACCGUAUCGUAAACGUAAAACGGUAACAAUUUAAACAAUAAAUAAAACAAUCGUAAUUAUCGCUAAAUCUACGAACUACCUUCAAAAUACAUUCAAAAUCAUCAUUUCGUAUAUAUACUAAUGCUCGCUUGAUUACCGCAAAUGAGGUGCGACAUAUCGAGUACAUCAAAAGCCUCUGAAACUCGUUUAUCUAAAACGUCCAUCACACUAGAAUAACGGCGAGAAAUCAAUUAAUAGUGGAUUUCAAAAUAUUAUUCCCGAUUUCGAAAUUUUCCAUCGACCAAACGUUCGUAAUUUUUUCAUUAAAAAAAAAAAAGUAGAACGCAGUAGGACGCGAAAACAAAGUCUCAUCGCUUAUACUCCUCUAUUUCUCCGCGCUGCUGCGCGGUACAAGUUAUUCUCGUCUAAAAAUACAGAUCUGCCUUCGUCGGAUCCAUCUCAUCUGGGACAUAAAAAAUCUGCCGAAUUAGGAAUUAACUUACGCGCGCGUUUCUGUCCCGUUUAAAGUUUAUAAGCCAAAGCCAAAUAACUCAGCGCGACAAAGAGAAAGAGAGAGAGAGAGAGAGAGAGAGAGAGAGAGAGAGAGAAAGAGAGGGGGGGGGGAACAAAAAGAUGCAAACGAAUAUAUCGGAUGCUUCUUUGUCAAGGACGCGACGGCACGACGACUUUCGAUAUGGUUUUGCCUGAAAGAGAGGAUUUCAAUGCACACGCUUUGGUGCGUGUGUUUUACGGUUUGUGUUGGAACAGUCUUAACGAAUUCCUUUGUACGAGUUUAUACGCGGCGUGUUUUCGGCUUAAUAGUUGGUAUAUAUUUUCGCAAGAGAAAGAAGCGCGAUAAAAACGUCGGCGCGCGCGAGAACGUUUUCGGAUAAGAAGAUCGUUGAGGAUCGGCCGUUCGAAAUUCUUCUUUUUCUUCUUCUUCUUCUUCUUCUUCUUCGAGAGAGGUGUAAGUAUUCAUAAAGGGAUAUUAAAAUUCUAAAUUUUCGCGUUCGAUCAGUUCCCUCCGAGUUCAACGACUCUCGCGGCUCCCAAAGUGAGAACCUGUGUGUCUUUUCUCUCUCUCUCUCUCACACAUAUACAUAAGUAUAUGUAUAUUUCACGAGGCGUUAGAGCCGCGCGAGGAAAGUGACGAAAAAAAAAUCGAGCUCAGGCGAUCGGUGUCGAUGCCCAAUAGAACGUGCAUCGAGACACACACACGUGGUGCCGUAAAUGCGCUCUCGCAGCUCCGUGGACUGGCUUUAUGAGCUGGAUAUACGUGAGGGGACUGCGAAUCGGUACGAAAACUACGAAAUGAAAACGCGCUCUAAAUUAUUGACCAAGUAUUCAUAAGUCGUGUGUGCCGAUGCGUAGCCUCGAUAACGUGGGCAUAUAGGUGUGACAGUAGAGAAGAAUUUUUUUUGGUGUAGCUCGUCCGGGUUGGCUUUUUCAAUUUGUAUUUCCCGGUUGGGCAACGAUUAGAUCGGUUGAAAAUAAAAAUUGUUUUCGGGGAUUGAAAAAAAUAUCUUCGAGGACAUUUGUAUCCUUGUUUA